RNAcentral lists this ribosomal RNA (500 nucleotides) under uncultured bacterium. Its description in RNAcentral is "bacterial SSU rRNA". It matches the Rfam family "Bacterial small subunit ribosomal RNA", at positions 791 to 1297 of the family's 1533-position model. The record is from RNAcentral.
UAGUCUACGCCGUAAACGAUGGAUACUAGUUGUUUGGAUUUCGAUCUGAGUGACUAAGCGAAAGUGAUAAGUAUCCCACCUGGGGAGUACGUUCGCAAGAAUGAAACUCAAAGGAAUUGACGGGGGCCCGCACAAGCGGUGGAGCAUGUGGUUUAAUUCGAUGAUACGCGAGGAACCUUACCAGGGCUUAAAUGCAGUCUGACAGCUUUAGAGAUAGAGUUUUCUUCGGACAGAUUGCAAGGUGCUGCAUGGUUGUCGUCAGCUCGUGCCGUGAGGUGUCAGGUUAAGUCCUAUAACGAGCGCAACCCCUGUUGUUAGUUGCCAGCGAGUAGUGUCGGGAACUCUAGCAAGACUGCCGGUGCAAACCGCGAGGAAGGUGGGGAUGACGUCAAAUCAUCACGGCCCUUACGUCCUGGGCCACACACGUGCUACAAUGGUAGAUACAAUGAGCAGCCACUGGGUGACCAGGCGCGAAUCUUAAAAAUCUAUCUCAGUUCGGA